CUAACACAUGCAGUCGAGGGGCAGCACAUGAAGCAGCAAUGCUGAUGGUGGCGACCGGCGCACGGGUGAGUAACGCGUAUGCAACCUGCCUACAACAGGGGAAUAACCCGUUGAAAGACGGACUAAUACUCCAUAAAACAGGGGUCCCGCAUGGGAAUAUUUGUUAAAGAUUUAUCGGUUGUAGAUGGGCAUGCGUUCCAUUAGCUAGUUGGUGAGGUAACGGCUCACCAAGGCAACGAUGGAUAGGGGAACUGAGAGGUUUAUCCCCCACACUGGUACUGAGACACGGACCAGACUCCUACGGGAGGCAGCAGUGAGGAAUAUUGGUCAAUGGACGCAAGUCUGAACCAGCCACGUCGCGUGAAGGAAGACGGCCCUACGGGUUGUAAACUUCUUUUGUAAGGGAAUAAAGUGAGUCACGCGUGACUUUUUGCAUGUACCUUACGAAUAAGGAUCGGCUAACUCCGUGCCAGCAGCCGCGGUAAUACGGAGGAUCCGAGCGUUAUCCGGAUUUAUUGGGUUUAAAGGGUGCGCAGGCGGGAGAUUAAGUCGGCGGUGAAAUUUUGCAGCUCAACUGUAAAAGUGCCUUCGAAACUGGUUUUCUUGAGUAUGGAUGAAGUAGGCGGAAUUUGUGGUGUAGCGGUGAAAUGCAUAGAUAUCACGAGGAACUCCGAUUGCGCAGGCAGCUUACUAAGCCAUAACUGACGCUCAUGCACGAAGGCGUGGGGAUCAAACAGGAU
This 740-nucleotide ribosomal RNA is filed under the name uncultured bacterium. RNAcentral describes it as "bacterial SSU rRNA". It matches the Rfam family "Bacterial small subunit ribosomal RNA", at positions 48 to 778 of the family's 1533-position model. The record is from RNAcentral.